ACGUGGCUGCUGCUCGAUGUCCUGCCUGUUCUGUUUCUGUGUCCUGGUCCGUUUCGGUCCUGGUGCUGCAUCCUCUUCCCUCAGUUUCUCCCUGGCCCAGCUGUUCUCUGAGUUCUGAUCUGUUCACUCCACCGCAUGCACACCAUGCCCCAGGAAUGCCCGGUUUCAGAGGAUUGCCAGGCUAUGGCCAUGAAGCUUGCUUUCGGACUGGGCUGGGAGGGGACCCUGAACUUGACACUUGGUAGCCAUGCAACCUGGAACAAGCUGCUCCCUCUUUCCCAGUCUUGGGUUCCACGUCUCUAAAUACGUGCUUUAUGGGAUUGCUUGUUCAUCCAACAAACGUGCUUAAUAAUGUCUGCAUUUAUUGAGCGCUUUUUAUUUGCAUUGAAUGCAUUUGUUAUGCUAAGAACUGCACUUACCUCAUCUCACUUUAUCUUUAUGACAACCCCAUGACACAGGAUUCUUAUUCCCAAGUUGUUGGCAAAGCCACUGAGGGGAAGAGGAUGGAGGACCCUGUCCAGGGUCACACACGUGACGGAGCAGGAAGGAGAACACAGGUGUGUCUGACACCGAAGUUGCCCUCUUCACCACUUCAUUAUUUGGAAAAUGGAUCCUUCCUCUCACGCCUGCGAUUUCUAGCCAGUGGAAAGUCGAUAGGCUGCUCACUGACCACAGCGGCGCCCCAGCUUUCUCCCCUGAGUCUAAACACCACGAACGGAGCGCAGAGGGAGGCUCUGUUCUCAGGCUCACGUGCGGAUAUCUUCUUGGUAGAAUGAAAACAGCCCUGGUUAUGUCAGGGAAUGCUUUAAACUUCCUAUCUCCAGCUCUGUCCAACAUUUCCAGUUUCGUCUUCUCUGUCUCCAAACAGGAAAGAUUCCACUAUACCGCUGGUCUCUACCCAGAUCCAGUCUGUGCCCACUGUGAGGAUGAUGUUAUUCCAAGUGAGAUGUUACCUUGGCAACCAACUUACCAACUCACUCAAUUAACCAGCUUCCUCUCUGUAAUCAAUACUCAUUAGCGCUGAAUCACUUCUUCACUUUGCCUUGCAAUUUUAACCACUCAUCCGGGUCAAUCUGUUUUUUAAUGGUGACAGUCAUCUCUCCUUUGGAAUAUGGAAACUCACUUGAACCCAACAGAACUCCUCUCCCUGGGGCCUCUGAGGAGGCUGUCAUCCCAACUCACGCUCACCCAAGGAAGUACCAGCUGGUGAUCUUGGUGGCGUUGGCAGCGGAACCUCCCCAGUGGCUUCCAGCAAGUCACUGGGGCCUUGCCCAAAAUGGAGCUGACGAGGAGGAAGGUGGCACCUGCCAUUCGAAACCACAGAGACGGCUUCUAUGCACCCAAGAGACUCCUUGGAGGCUCCAAGGGAGAAAUACUACCAUGUGAUGGUUAAUUGUAGACUGACGUGAUUUGAGAACAGAGAGAAAAAAAUGUAUUAUUAAAAACCAAAACAGUCUAUUCCACUUCCCACUCUGCUUCUAAGACAGGGGAUGGGGGGGUGGUGGUGUAAUUCAUGUCUCAGGGAGAUAAAAUUCUACACAACUUCCUUUGCUGCACAGAGCCCAGUGGGAGAUGAGGGGGACAAUGGGUAUUCCGGAGGCUUUGCAGGUUUUCUGGAGCUGCAGCUUCACAGGGGACCCGGAGUGGGUGGCCUUUGGUGGAGCAGGAAUAUUUUGUGGGUCUCCAGAGGCUGAUAAGAGAGGAGAGGGGGGUUGAGUUCUAAGGAAGCGGAGCCCUGAACGUGGGGAAGGCGGGCUGAGCACUAGGGCGGUGUAAAGACUUCUUGUGGCCCUAAACUUCAUGAGAGUCAGCUAUGUACACACGUGUCCUGGGUAAGCGGUGUUGGAGAUAGAUUUAGGGAGCAGGAAAAGAGGCCUAUUCCACCAUUGGAACGUGAUGCAGACAGCAAUAGCACUGCUGGCUGGCAAGAUGACCCACAAAAGGAAACAAUUAAUUAAUGAAAAGCAUUGUCCUAGGCACUGGAAAUUCAUUAGAAAUUGAAGCAGAAAGAUCCCUGCUCUCAAGGACUUGAGUUCUAGAGGCAGAGGCAGAAAACAGGGCCAGGAAACAAAUGAAUAAGCACUUCAGGUAUGCUGAGUGCUGUGAAGAUAAUGACUCAGAGAGAACCUGGUAGGUGGCCCCCUUAGAUGGUGCGGGUCAGGGGGCCUCUCCCGGGAGCUGACGUUUGAUUUGAGCUGAGAGCUGAAGGAUGAGGAGCAGCCAGCUCACGAGAAGCCCGCCCGGAAAGAGUGCUCCAGAAAGAGCAACCCCCAACUGUCCUGGCCACGCAUUCAUUUUCUCCACCAGAAAUGAAUGCUCUCUACUCUGAGUGCCUUUGCAUCGACUCCAGGCUCUCUCAGGGGCCUUUUGUUUUCUUUUUUUUUGAGAUAGAGUCUUGCUUUGUUGCCCAGGCUGGAGCGCAGUUGUGGGAUCUUGGCUCAUUGCAACCUCCACCUCCCAGAAGUGAUUCUCCUUCUGAUACAGACCCUGUUUCCAGCCCUUAAAAACACUCACCUUCAUUGGUAAUAAUAAUAAUAAUAAUAAUAAAACCAGCACACUAUGCAAUACCAUUUUCCUCUUGUACAUUUAGAGGAUUAAAAAAAGUAACUGGUGAGGAUCUAGUGAAACAUCUCUCUUAUACGCUGCAGGUGGAACUGUGAAUUGGGAACCGCUCUGAAAGCAACUGGAAAAUAUUUAUCAAAGGCCAUAAAAAUGUUCCUAUUUCUGGAACCGGUAAUCUUAUUUGGGAAUCUGUCCUAGGGGAAUAAUAUAAACUAUGGAAAAAUCUGUGCACAAA
Long non-coding RNA from Cebus imitator (Panamanian white-faced capuchin), 2797 nucleotides. RefSeq lists it as uncharacterized. The record is from RefSeq and is a predicted model, not a curated record. The transcript is spliced from 2 exons. NCBI's taxonomy places the organism in Eukaryota, Metazoa, Chordata, Mammalia, Primates, Cebidae.